AAACCGGUUGAUCCUGCCGGACCCGACCGCUAUCGGGGUGGGGCUUAGCCAUGCGAGUCGAGCGCCCCAGGGACCCGCUGGGGCGCGGCGCACGGCUCAGUAACACGUGGCCAACCUACCCUCGGGAGGGGGACAACCCCGGGAAACUGGGGCUAAUCCCCCACAGGGGAGGGGUGCUGGAAGGCCCCCUCCCCCAAAGGAACCACGCCCGGCACCCGGCGUGGUUCGCCCGAGGAUGGGGCUACGGCCCAUCAUGGUAGUUGGCGGGGUAACGGCCCGCCAAGCCGAAGACGGGUGGGGGCCGUGAGAGCGGGAGCCCCGAGAUGGGCACUGAGACAAGGGCCCAGGCCCUAUGGGGUGCAGCAGGCUCGAAUACUCCGCAAAUAGGGCUGGUGGGUAACUCCGCCAGCCCUAGCGGAAUGCGGGAAACCGCGACGGGGCCACCCCGAGUGCCGUCCGAUGAGGACGGCUUUUCCCCCGUGCAAGGAGCGGGGGGAAUAAGCGGGGGGCAAGUCUGGUGUCAGCCGCCGCGGUAAUACCAGCCCCGCGAGUGGUCGGGGCGUUUACUGGGCCUAAAGCGCCCGUAGCCGGCCCGGUAAGUCACCCCUGAAAUCCACGGGCUCAACCCGUGGGCUGGGGGUGAUACUGCCGGGCUUGGGGGUGGGAGAGGCCGGGGGUACUCCCGAGGUAGGGGCGAAAUCCGAUAAUCUCGGGAGGACCACCAGUGGCGGAAGCGCCCGGCUGGAACACGCCCGACGGUGAGGGGCGAAAGCUGGGGGAGCAAACCGGGCCCAGGUCAGCGUUGCGUAAGAUUUAACAAAUUGAAACACAGCAAAACGCCAUGGAGUGCGACAGAUGCUCGGCUAUAGUUCUAUGGGCUACGACGACCCACGCGUAUUAACCCCCCUUUUCAAUCCCCCUCAUCUUUACCUCACCAAGCCGACCUGGCCCGGGCUCAAAGGGGAUUAGAUACCCCUGUAGUCCCAGCUGUAAACGAUGCGGGCUAGCUGUUGGGCGGGCUUAGGGCCCGCCCAGUGGCGUAGGGAAGCCGUUAAGCCCGCCGCCUGGGGAGUACGGCCGCAAGGCUGAAACUUAAAGGAAAGGGAGGUUGGGAGCUGGGUGCAAAGGUGAUAAUUAAGAAGUAGUGAAUAUAAUUAUGAGGUUAAGUUGGCGCAGAGGAACUAUGAAUGUAAUCUUUGUCCUCUUUGUCUGUCCAGCUCCCACCUCCCCCUGAGUUGGCGGGGGGGCACCACAAGGGGUGAAGCUUGCGGCUUAAUUGGAGUCAACGCCGGAAACCUCACCCGGGGCGACAGCAGGAUGAAGGCCAGGCUAAUGACCUUGCCGGACGAGCUGAGAGGAGGUGCAUGGCCGUCGUCAGCUCGUGCCGUGAGGUGUCCAGUUAAGUCUGGCAACGAGCGCGACCCCCGCCCCUUGUUGCCACCCUACCCUUCGGGGUAGGGGGCACACAAGGGGGACUGCCGGCGUAAGCCGGAGGAAGGAGGGGGCUACGGCAGGUCAGUAUGCCCCGAAACCCCGGGGCUGCACGCGAGCUGCAAUGGCGGGGACAGCGGGUUCCGACCCCGAAAGGGGGAGGCAAUCCCGUAAACCCCGCCCCAGUAGGAAUCGAGGGCUGCAACUCGCCCUCGUGAACGUGGAAUCCCUAGUAACCGCGUGUCACCAACGCGCGGUGAAUACGUCCCUGCCCCUUGCACACACCGCCCGUCGCGCCACCCAAGGGGAUCCUUAACGAGGCCCCCUGGGUUCACUGGGGGGUCGAGUUGGGGGUCCCCAAGGGGGGCGAAGUCGUAACAAGGUGGCCGUAGGGGAACCUGCGGCCGGAUCACCUCCUU
This 1850-nucleotide ribosomal RNA is filed under the name Caldivirga sp. RNAcentral's name for it is "bacterial SSU rRNA". It matches the Rfam family "Archaeal small subunit ribosomal RNA". The record is from RNAcentral. Lineage: Archaea; Thermoproteati; Thermoproteota; Thermoprotei; Thermoproteales; Thermoproteaceae.